UCUAGAAACUUUUCAGGGGAAAAGAGGGCGUUUGACGUGUGGGUGGGUGUGCGGACAGCGCCGGCAGGAGCAGCAGGAGCGGCGAACGCCCGGGGCUGGGCUGCAGACGGAUGUAAAUUACAUUUGGAAAGAUCAGGCUCCAAGGCUCUCAUUUGCCCUCACCAGAUACUUAGAAUAAGAUUUCGGUGUGACAGUAAUUUUGCCAAUGGAGGUCGACUCCCCAAAACAUCACCCUGCGAAGCACAGCGCAUGUAAAGCUGCAGGGGAAUAAAACAAGAGCAGUGCUGAUGUGCUCAAAAGACAUCUAAGUGUUCCACUUGAAUUGGCUGCGACCAGAGUCGGCUGGACACUGUGCUCAUUUCCUUUGGCUCAAGUCCCUGAGCUCCACAGAAGCACAGAUUUGGCGAGGUGCUGAACUCCUGAGUGAAAAUGAAGUCACAACUCCAGAAGAGAUUCACAGAUUGCGAUGUACCACGCUGCCAGUUGCCAGUGCUCUUUCUACCUCCACUGAGAACAUGGAGAGAUUCUGCAACUACAGAAGGAGGAAAGAAAAGUUCACGCCCCACAACUGGAGAGUAGCCCUCGCUUGCCACAACUAGUGAAGCCCACGUGGAGCAACAAAAACUCAGAGCAGGCAUAAAUAAAUAAAUAGGUAUUAAAAUUAAAAAAAAAAAAGAAAGGACUUCCUGCUGUCAAGGCAUAACAAACACCAGCACAAGACAAGUGAGGGAGAAUCUUAGCUGAGAAAAGAUGUUUCUGUUAUAGAAGAUGCCCCACCUCACCGCCCCCCAUCCCAAGCCUAGCUUGAGGGAGGCCCUCCUCCAGGAAAGGCUUGGGUGUUCAGAGUCAGAAUCAGCAGGCUUUUGUUGAAUAGACAGAUGCUGCAUACAAGGCAGCUCCAUGUACUUCUUUCUACUACACCCUUUUAAUAUUUGAACUUAAGAGAAACCUCCAACUUUUUCCCAAAUGGAAUUUUAUUUUGAAAUGAGAUCCUGCAGCGUGAGGACCAACUACAGAAAUACUUUAGUGUUAAGAGACCUGCACAGCCUGAAACAUUUUUCCUAACUUGGACCACUGUUCCAUGUGCAUCCAGAGGCUGUACCGCAGCCUACACUAACAGCUUGUUCUUAACCUCCCACUCCAAAGAUUUACUGAGAAUUUCUUUCUGAGCAGAACUACUCUCGUAAAAGAAAUAGUAGCAGCAUGUUGUGUUAGUUAGGAUAAUUGCUAUAAUAGAAAGAUCCAAGUAAAGAACAUAGCUCACAUACGGUAGUUUAUUUCUUGCUUCUAGGGUUGUAUAACUUUUGAACUGUGGUGUUGGAGUCCCUUGGACUGCAAGGAGAUCAAAUCAGUCAAUCCUUAAGGAAAUCAGUCCUGAAUAUUCAUUAGAAGGACUGAUGCUGAAGCUGAAACUCCAAUACUUGGGCCACCUGAUGCGAAGAACUGGCUCAUUGGAAAAGACCCUGAUGCUGGGAGAGAUUGAAGGCAGGAGAAGGGGAUAACAGAGGAUGAGAUGGUUGGAUGGCAUCACUGACUUGAUGGACAUGAGUUUGAGCAAGCUCUGGGAGUUGGUGAUGGACAGGGAAGCCUGGCGUGCUGCAGUCCGUGGGGUCUCAGUCAGACACAACUGGGCGACUGAACUGAGGGUUGCAGAGCAGCACUUCUCCCUGUAGCCAUUUAGGAACCCAGGUUAAUGAAAGCCUGCAAAAGGCAUGGAGGAAACAUCUAGGAGGUUUUUAUGAAUCUAGAAGUAGGGCUGUUGUCAUUUUUUUGCUAAGUCAUGUCCGACCUGGCGACCCCAUGGACUGUAGCCCACCAGGCUCUUCUUGUCUACAGGAUUUCCCAGGCAAGAAUACUGGAGUGGGUUGCCAAAGAAAAUUUUCAUAGAGGAUUGAGUCCCCAGGAUGAGGGUGAGCGAUGUGGAGCGUAUCCAUCCUACUUUCAUCAACCUAGAGACCACUGAUGGCCAUUGGCAUUAGUUACCAUCCAGAGGAUUUGAUGCUGAAGCUGAAACUCUAAUACUUUGGCCACUUCAUGUGAAGAGUUGACUCAUUGGAAAAGACCCUGAUGCUGGGAGGGACUGGGGGCGGGAGGAGA
Long non-coding RNA from Cervus elaphus (red deer), 2097 nucleotides. RefSeq lists it as uncharacterized. The transcript has 4 exons. NCBI's taxonomy places the organism in Eukaryota, Metazoa, Chordata, Mammalia, Artiodactyla, Cervidae. The record is from RefSeq and is a predicted model, not a curated record.